This 1381-nucleotide long non-coding RNA is filed under the name Dromaius novaehollandiae (emu). RNAcentral's name for it is "lncRNA (ENSDNVG00000007917.1)". Lineage: Eukaryota; Metazoa; Chordata; Aves; Casuariiformes; Dromaiidae. The record is from RNAcentral.
GAUAAGAUGAAAGGUUUGCGGCUUUUUCCAGAGAUUCCAGAUACUGGAAAAGCAGAGCGAGUAGGGGGAGUUGGAAAAAGAACAAUGAAAGAGUGGCUCAAGAGAGCCCUUUGUGUGAAGGAGGAUCUUGAGAAGAUAUUGGGAAGUAAUGAGAUGCAUUGGCAGAUCUGUCUGGGAGAUACUAUCCUUGCARCCUGUCCUGUCAACACAUCAUCUUCGUCAGUAGUAAAAUUCAGGUCAAGCUGUGUGAAGAGAGAGCAGAAGAGAUUACACUGUAGUGAUUCAUUAGUUCUGCUUACAAAACCUGGAGAAAAUGUCACUUCCAAAUUUAGACAAAGCAUCAAAAUUUCAACCUCUGCCAGGGACAGUUGUGUCAGGCUGGCCAGAUGGCAGAGUGGCAAAGCAAGCAAACAGUCCACUGAGGACCUGCAAAAUCUUGAGAGAGCACAAGACUUCUGCGUAAGGACUAGAGAAGGAAAAACACCACCCGCAGAUGCACCAAAGGAGACGUUCACCUAUUACUGAGAAGAAUACAACCCCUUCUUUGCCCAGCAGUGCUCUCCCCUCCUGAGCCAGCCCUCCAUUUUGGUUGUGUUGCAACUCUCCCCAGCCUCCCCCUGGGGAUCCUCAGAAGAUGAUGAAGUGCACAAUAUUCCUAGGCCUUCAGCAUUUUGUUUUGUUUAAUGGGCUCCACUGGGAGCUGCUAUUAAUCCACUCUAGAGAGAAGAGCUUUUUUGUUGUUGUUUUUGUUUGCCCCCUUCUGCCUCAGGCAGGUCAUGAAUUAUGUGCCUGUUGUUCUUCCUCACUUCAGGACUUCCCUGUGAUGUCCCACAGGGGCCCAUUAAGAGCUUCCUUGCUGCAUCCCUCCAGAGAAAGCCCAAGUGCUGAAGUGGCAGAGGCAGGGGAAGAGGGAGGCUCUUGAGGCUCAGAGAAUUACAAGAUCUUUGGAGGGGAGCAGCGAGUCUCUGUGAGGAUUUGGGUAAGAGCAGGUCGUCUCCAUAGCUCAGGGGCAUAUUUUGGUCUGCCGGGGCUUGAGUUGCAUGCCAAAAUUACUGAUGGAUAAGUUGCCCGAUUACAGAGCAAAAGUAUGGAUUACAGAAGCAAAAGAUGCUUCUCUGAGUUGCUCUCUGAAUCAUGCUAUUUCCAUUCAUUUAGUAGCACAAGAACUCAAACUUCGGGGAAAGGGAUACUCUUGACCUGCAGCUGACUGCAGGUCCUGUUAUGGGUCUGGCCCACAAAURACACAUGCCUGAGCUGACUUUUAGCUCCAGCUGCCUAAAUAGCCUGUGCCUUUAGGGCAGGAGAACCCCAGUCUGGUUCCCCUGGAUAUGAUGGCUGCUCUCAUGCAUUUCAAAUAAAUUUCCUGAAAGAAGCCCUCCCA